RNAcentral lists this unclassified non-coding RNA (378 nucleotides) under plant metagenome. RNAcentral's name for it is "partial contains 5.8S ribosomal RNA, internal transcribed spacer 2, and large subunit ribosomal RNA". The stretch from base 1 to 105 matches the Rfam family "5.8S ribosomal RNA", at positions 50 to 154 of the family's 154-position model. The record is from RNAcentral.
GAAAUGAGAUAAGUAAUGUGAAUUGCAGAAUUCAGUGAAUCAUCGAAUCCUUGAACGCACCUUGCGCUCCUUGGUAUUCCUUGGAGCAUGCCUGUUUGAGUAUCAUGAAAUCUUCAAAGUAAAUCUUUUGUUAACUCAAUUGGUUUCUACUUUGGUAUUGGAGGUCUUUGCAGCUUCACACCUGCUCCUCUUUGUUCAUUAGCUGGAUCUCAGUGUUAUGCUUGGUUCCACUCGGCGUGAUAAGUUAUCUAUCGCUGAGGACACUGUAAAAGGUGGCCAAGGUAAAUGCAGAUGAACCGCUUCUAAUAGUCCAUUGACUUGGACAAUACUUUUAUGAUCUGAUCUCAAAUCAGGUAGGACUACCCGCUGAACUUAAGC